AUUGAACGCUGGCGGGAGGCCUAACACAUGCAAGUCGAGCGGAUGAAGGGAGCUUGCUCCUGGAUUCAGCGGCGGACGGGUGAGUAAUGCCUAGGAAUCUGCCUGGUAGUGGGGGAUAACGUCCGGAAACGGGCGCUAAUACCGCAUACGUCCUGAGGGAGAAAGUGGGGGAUCUUCGGACCUCACGCUAUCAGAUGAGCCUAGGUCGGAUUAGCUAGUUGGUGGGGUAAAGGCCUACCAAGGCGACGAUCCGUAACUGGUCUGAGAGGAUGAUCAGUCACACUGGAACUGAGACACGGUCCAGACUCCUACGGGAGGCAGCAGUGGGGAAUAUUGGACAAUGGGCGAAAGCCUGAUCCAGCCAUGCCGCGUGUGUGAAGAAGGUCUUCGGAUUGUAAAGCACUUUAAGUUGGGAGGAAGGGCAGUAAGUUAAUACCUUGCUGUUUUGACGUUACCAACAGAAUAAGCACCGGCUAACUUCGUG
This 484-nucleotide ribosomal RNA is filed under the name uncultured bacterium. RNAcentral's name for it is "partial 16S ribosomal RNA". It matches the Rfam family "Bacterial small subunit ribosomal RNA", at positions 30 to 507 of the family's 1533-position model. The record is from RNAcentral.